AUGAUUUGCAACUUGUUUAAUAUUGUGUAUGUUGAUAGAUCAUCAGAGUCAUUCCAUGUUCAAACAUUUCAGGUGUAUUCAUUGCCAACUUUCUUGCUUGUUAAGAAAGGAAAAGUUAUUGAUAAAGUGGUAGGAGUAAGAAAGAAGGAGCUACAAAAGAUGAUUGAAAAACAUAUAAACUAA
Vicia faba (fava bean) is the source of this 183-nucleotide non-coding RNA. Lineage: Eukaryota; Viridiplantae; Streptophyta; Magnoliopsida; Fabales; Fabaceae. The record is from the annotation of a GenBank genome assembly.